AGUGAACGCUGGCGGUAGGCCUAACACAUGCAAGUCGAACGGCAGCACAGUAAGAGCUUGCUCUUACGGGUGGCGAGUGGCGGACGGGUGAGGAAUACAUCGGAAUCUACUUUUUCGUGGGGGAUAACGUAGGGAAACUUACGCUAAUACCGCAUACGACCCACGGGUGAAAGCAGGGGAUCUUCGGACCUUGCGCGAUUGAAUGAGCCGAUGUCGGAUUAGCUAGUUGGCGGGGUAAAGGCCCACCAAGGCGACGAUCCGUAGCUGGUCUGAGAGGAUGAUCAGCCACACUGGAACUGAGACACGGUCCAGACUCCUACGGGAGGCAGCAGUGGGGAAUAUUGGACAAUGGGCGCAAGCCUGAUCCAGCCAUACCGCGUGGGUGAAGAAGGCCUUCGGGUCGUAAAGCCCUUUUGUUGGGAAAGAAAAGCAGCAGGUUAAUACCCCGCUGUUCUGACGGUACCCAAAGAAUAAGCACCGGCUAACUUCGUG
RNAcentral lists this ribosomal RNA (492 nucleotides) under uncultured bacterium. RNAcentral describes it as "partial 16S ribosomal RNA". It matches the Rfam family "Bacterial small subunit ribosomal RNA", at positions 29 to 507 of the family's 1533-position model. The record is from RNAcentral.